UACGUAGGGUGCGAGCGUUGUCCGGAAUUACUGGGCGUAAAGAGCUCGUAGGUGGUUUGUCGCGUCGUCUGUGAAAUUCCGGGGCUUAACUUCGGGCGUGCAGGCGAUACGGGCAAUACUUGAGUGCUGUAGGGGAAACUGGAAUUCCUGGUGUAGCGGUGGAAUGCGCAGAUAUCAGGAGGAACACCGAUGGCGAAGGCAGGUCUCUGGGCAGUAACUGACGCUGAGGAGCGAAAGCAUGGGUAGCGAACAGGAUUAGAUACCCCCGUA
Molecule: ribosomal RNA, 270 nt
Filed under: uncultured prokaryote
Description: partial 16S ribosomal RNA
Rfam family: Bacterial small subunit ribosomal RNA
Source: RNAcentral